AGGUGCUGCACGGCUGUCGUCAGCUCGUGUCGUGAGAUGUUGGGUUAAGUCCCGCAACGAGCGCAACCCUCGUGUUUAGUUACUAACAGUUCGGCUGAGGACUCUAGACAGACUGCCUGGGUAACCAGGAGGAAGGUGAGGACGACGUCAAGUCAUCAUGGCCCUUACGGCCAGGGCUACACACGUGCUACAAUGGGGUAUACAAAGAGCUGCAAUACGGUGACGUGGAGCAAAUCUCAUAAAAUAUCUCCCAGUUCGGAUUGAAGUCUGCAACUCGACUUCAUGAAGUUGGAAUCGCUAGUAAUCGUAGAUCAGCAAUGCUACGGUGAAUACGUUCCCGGGUCUUGUACUCACCGCCCGUCACACCAUGGGAAUUGAAUUCAUUCGAAGCGGGGAUGCUAAAAUAGCUACCUUCCACAGUGGAUUUAGUAACUAGGGUGAAGUCGUAACAAGGUA
RNAcentral lists this ribosomal RNA (456 nucleotides) under uncultured bacterium. RNAcentral describes it as "bacterial SSU rRNA". It matches the Rfam family "Bacterial small subunit ribosomal RNA", at positions 1036 to 1498 of the family's 1533-position model. The record is from RNAcentral.